CUCAGGACGAACGCUGGCGGUGUGCUUCACACAUGCAAGUCGAACGAGGUAGCAAUACCUAGUGGCGGACGGGUGAGUAACGCGUGGGAAUCUGCCUUAAGAUGGGGGAUAACGAGCCGAAAGGCUCGCUAAUACCGCAUAUGCCGAAAGGUGAAAGGAGUAAUCCGUCUUAAGAUGAGCCCGCGUCCGAUUAGCUAGUUGGUAGGGUAAAGGCCUACCAAGGCGACGAUCGGUAGCUGGUCUGAGAGGAUGACUCAGCCACAAUGGGACUGAGACACGGACCCAAUACUCCUACGGGAGGCAGCAGUGGGGAAUUUUACGCAAUGGGGGAAACCCUGACGUAGCGACACCGCGUGAGCGAAGAAGCCCCUUGGGGUGUAAAGCUCUGUCAGCUGGAACGAAAAAAAUGACGGUACCAGCAGAGGAAGCAUCGGCUAACUACGUG
This 445-nucleotide ribosomal RNA is filed under the name uncultured bacterium. RNAcentral's name for it is "bacterial SSU rRNA". It matches the Rfam family "Bacterial small subunit ribosomal RNA", at positions 23 to 507 of the family's 1533-position model. The record is from RNAcentral.